UACGUAGGGGGCAAGCGUUGUCCGGAAUCAUUGGGCGUAAAGAGCGUGUAGGCGGCCUGGUAAGUCCGCUGUGAAAGUCCAGGGCUCAACCCUGGAAUGCCGGUGGAAACUGUCAGGCUCGAGUCCGGAAGAGGCGAGUGGAAUUCCUGGUGUAGCGGUGAAAUGCGCAGAUAUCAGGAGGAACACCAAUGGCGAAGGCAGCUCGCUGGGACGGUACUGACACUGAGACGCGAAAGCGUGGGGAGCAAACAGG
This 253-nucleotide ribosomal RNA is filed under the name uncultured bacterium. RNAcentral describes it as "partial 16S ribosomal RNA". It matches the Rfam family "Bacterial small subunit ribosomal RNA", at positions 524 to 776 of the family's 1533-position model. The record is from RNAcentral.